RNAcentral lists this ribosomal RNA (192 nucleotides) under Triticum aestivum (bread wheat). RNAcentral's name for it is "partial small subunit ribosomal RNA". The record is from RNAcentral. Lineage: Eukaryota; Viridiplantae; Streptophyta; Magnoliopsida; Poales; Poaceae.
UUAUCCCACGCAAAUCAUUUACCUAUAACGAUUCACUACCCUUAUGGAAAAUCAAUUACACCAGAGCGUUUCCGAGGGCGAAUCCACUUUGAAUUUGAUAAAUGUAUUGCUUCUGAAGUAUGUGUUUGUGUAUGUCUGAUAGAUCUACCCGUUGUGGAUUGGAGAUUUGAAAAAGAUAUUAAAAGAAAAUAA